RNAcentral lists this transfer RNA (69 nucleotides) under Propionibacterium sp. Its description in RNAcentral is "tRNA-Ile". It matches the Rfam family "tRNA". From Rfam's summary of the family: Transfer RNA (tRNA) molecules are approximately 80 nucleotides in length. Their secondary structure includes four short double-helical elements and three loops (D, anti-codon, and T loops). Lineage: Bacteria; Bacillati; Actinomycetota; Actinomycetes; Propionibacteriales; Propionibacteriaceae. The record is from RNAcentral.
GCCUAUAGCUCAGUUGGUUAGAGCGCUGCCCUGAUAAGGCAGAGGUCACUGGUUCAAGUCCAGUUAGGC